GAUGAAGAACGUAGAGAAAUGCGAUACGUAAUGUGAAUUGCAAAUUCAGUGAAUCAUCGAGUCUUUGAACGCACAUUGCGCCCCCUGGUAUUCCGGGGGGCAUGCCUGUCCGAGCGUCAUUGCUGCCCUCAAGCACGGCUUGUGUGUUGGGCCCCGUCCUCCGAUCCCGGGGGACGGGCCCGAAAGGCAGCGGCGGCACCGCGUCCGGUCCUCGAGCGUAUGGGGCUUUGUCACCCGCUCUGUAGGCCCGGCCGGCGCUUGCCGAUCAACCCAAAUUUUUAUCCAGGUUGACCUCGGAUCAGGUAGGGAUACCCGCUGAACUUAAGCAUAUCAAUAAGCGGAGGA
This 345-nucleotide unclassified non-coding RNA is filed under the name soil metagenome. RNAcentral describes it as "partial contains 5.8S ribosomal RNA, internal transcribed spacer 2, and large subunit ribosomal RNA". The stretch from base 1 to 119 matches the Rfam family "5.8S ribosomal RNA", at positions 35 to 154 of the family's 154-position model. The record is from RNAcentral.